This 368-nucleotide long non-coding RNA is filed under the name Nicotiana benthamiana. RNAcentral describes it as "long non-coding RNA (NBEN_LNC020048)". The record is from RNAcentral. Lineage: Eukaryota; Viridiplantae; Streptophyta; Magnoliopsida; Solanales; Solanaceae.
CCUUAUUGUAUUCAAUAUUUUGAGGAAACCAUGUAUCUUAUAGCACUUAUCAAUUAAGUGCCCAGAUUUCUUGCAGUAUCUGCAAAAUAAGGUCCCUCUAUGUGACUCAAAAUUAACUCUGGGUCUAAAAACAGGGGAACUAGGCACUGUGGCCUGAUUAAACCCAGCUGAGUGCUUAUUUGUAUUAGCAUUAAAAAGACAUGGAGUCUGGACUGAAUUGAGAAAUAGAUUGUACUUGUCUUUGUUUCUCAUCAUUAAGCACUAUAUUGUAAACACUGUCAAGGGAAGGAAAGGGCUGCAUCAUCAAUAAGCUACUCCUAACCCCCAUAUAUGCUUCAUUUAACCCCAUGAGAAACUGGAAUACCAUG